AGGCACACGGAGAAGCCCUGGCAAAGCGGCGGAGGACCCGGGUUCGAUUCCCGGCAGCUCCA
Molecule: transfer RNA, 62 nt
Filed under: Rhodococcus (subgen. Prescottella) equi
Lineage: Bacteria; Bacillati; Actinomycetota; Actinomycetes; Mycobacteriales; Nocardiaceae
Description: Prescottella equi tRNA-OTHER
Source: RNAcentral